GGGCGCUUGGUCUAGGGGUAUGAUUUUCGCUUCGCAUCACGUUCAGAUCCUCGGAAGAUGAUCAGUGACAUGCGCUUGCUUGUGAAAGGUCGUGGGUUCAAUUCCCACAGUGUCCA
Molecule: transfer RNA, 116 nt
Filed under: Colletotrichum tofieldiae
Lineage: Eukaryota; Fungi; Ascomycota; Sordariomycetes; Glomerellales; Glomerellaceae
Rfam family: tRNA
About the family: Transfer RNA (tRNA) molecules are approximately 80 nucleotides in length. Their secondary structure includes four short double-helical elements and three loops (D, anti-codon, and T loops).
Source: Rfam by way of RNAcentral